This 499-nucleotide ribosomal RNA is filed under the name uncultured bacterium. RNAcentral's name for it is "partial 16S ribosomal RNA". It matches the Rfam family "Bacterial small subunit ribosomal RNA", at positions 28 to 507 of the family's 1533-position model. The record is from RNAcentral.
GAUGAACGCUGGCGGCGUGCCUAAUACAUGCAAGUCGAGCGAACAGACGAGGAGCUUGCUCCUCUGACGUUAGCGGCGGACGGGUGAGUAACACGUGGAUAACCUACCUAUAAGACUGGGAUAACUUCGGGAAACCGGAGCUAAUACCGGAUAAUAUAUUUAGACCCGCGUGGUUCUAUAGAGAAAGGCGGUUUUUCUGUCUCUUAUAGAUGUAUCCGCGCCGCAUUAGCUAGUUGGUAAGGUAACGGCUUACCAAGGCAACGAUGCGUAGCCGACCUGAGAGGGUGAUCGGCCACACUGGAACUGAGACACGGUCCAGACUCCUACGGGAGGCAGCAGUAGGGAAUCUUCCGCAAAGGGCGAAAGCUUGACGGAGCAACGCCGCGUGAGUGAUGAAGGUCUUCGGAUCGUAAAACUCUGUUAUUAGGGAAGAACAAAUGUGUAAGUAACUAUGCACGUCUUGACGGUACCUAAUCAGAAAGCCACGGCUAACUACGUG